This 304-nucleotide ribosomal RNA is filed under the name uncultured fungus. RNAcentral describes it as "eukaryotic LSU rRNA". Lineage: Eukaryota; Fungi. The record is from RNAcentral.
AACGCACCUUGCGCUCCUUGGUAUUCCGAGGAGCAUGCCCGUUUGAGUGUCAUGGUAUUCUCAAUCUAUCUGGUUCUGUUAAAAGAACUCAGUUGGACUUGGAUAUGGAGGUUUCUUGCUGGUCUUCAUAGAUCGGCUCCUCUGAAAUGCAUUAGUGCGUCUUGUUGCGACGUGCGCCUCGGUGUGAUAAUUAUCUACGCUGUGGUGUGCUUGCUUCUGUGGAGACGCGCUUUCAAUCCGUCCGAAAGGACAACUUUCAUCGAACUUUGACCUCAAAUCAGGUGGGACUACCCGCUGAACUUAA